AGGAAGGUAGUGUAGUUAACACCUGCAUUAUUUGACGUUACCUACAGAAGAAGCACCGGCUAACUCCGUGCCAGCAGCCGCGGUAAUACGGAGGGUGCGAGCGUUAAUCGGAAUUACUGGGCGUAAAGCGCAUGCAGGCGGCCUGUUAAGUCAGAUGUGAAAGCCCGGGGCUUAACCUCGGAAUUGCAUUUGAAACUGGCAGGCUAGAGUCUUGUAGAGGGGGGUAGGAAUUUCAGGUGUAGCGGUGAAAUGCGUAGAGAUCUGAAGGAAUACCAGUGGCGAAGGCGGCCCCCUGGACAAAGACUGACGCUCAGAUGCGAAAGCGUGGGGAGCAAACAGGAUUAGAUACCCCUGGUAG
This 358-nucleotide ribosomal RNA is filed under the name uncultured bacterium. RNAcentral's name for it is "bacterial SSU rRNA". It matches the Rfam family "Bacterial small subunit ribosomal RNA", at positions 441 to 793 of the family's 1533-position model. The record is from RNAcentral.